UACAGAGACUGCAAGCGUUAUUCGGAUUCACUGGGCGUAAAGGGUGCGCAGGCGGCCAAGUGUGUUAGGCGUGAAAGCCCGGAGCUUAACUCCGGAAUUGCACCUAAAACUACAUGGCUAGAGCAUUGGAGAGGGUAGCGGAAUUCACGGUGUAGCAGUGAAAUGCGUAGAUAUCGUGAGGAACACCAGAGGCGAAGGCGGCUACCUGGACAAUUGCUGACGCUCAGGCACGAAAGCGUGGGGAGCAAAAGGG
Molecule: ribosomal RNA, 253 nt
Filed under: uncultured bacterium
Lineage: Bacteria
Description: partial 16S ribosomal RNA
Rfam family: Bacterial small subunit ribosomal RNA
Source: RNAcentral